GAUGAACGCUGGCGGCGUGCCUAACACAUGCAAGUCGAGCGAGAAGUUUGAAAAAUGAGUUUUCGAACAAGUGAUUCAAACGGAAAGCGGCGGACGGGUGAGUAACGCGUAGGCAACCUGCCCCGUGCAGAGGGACAGCCUCGGGAAACCGGGAUUAAGACCUCAUGAUAUCGGGUUAUCACAUGGUAAUCCGGUCAAAGAUUUAUCGGCAUGGGAUGGGCCUGCGUCUGAUUAGCUGGUUGGUGGGGUAACGGCCUACCAAGGCGACGAUCAGUAGCAGAACGGAGAGGGUCAGCUGCCACAUUGGAACUGAGACACGGUCCAAACUGCGACGGGAGGCAGCAGUGAGGAAUAGUGCACAAUGGUCGAAAGCCUGAUUGAGCUACGCCGCGUGAGCGAAGAAGGCAGUCGGGUCGUAAAGCUCUGUCCUUGGGGAAGAAACAAAUGACGGUACCCUUGGAGGAAGCCCCGGCGAACUACGUGCCAGCAGCCGCGGUAA
Molecule: ribosomal RNA, 499 nt
Filed under: uncultured bacterium
Lineage: Bacteria
Description: partial 16S ribosomal RNA
Rfam family: Bacterial small subunit ribosomal RNA
Source: RNAcentral